GUGCUCACUCUGCAGCACAUAGGCUGACAUUGGAACAGAUACAGAGAAGAUUAGCAUGACCCCUGCACAAGGAUGACAUGCAAAUUUGUGAAGUGUUCCAUGAUUUU
This is a small nuclear RNA of Ochotona princeps (American pika), 107 nucleotides long. The record is from RefSeq and is a predicted model, not a curated record. NCBI's taxonomy places the organism in Eukaryota, Metazoa, Chordata, Mammalia, Lagomorpha, Ochotonidae.